AUUGAACGCUGGCGGCAGGCCUAACACAUGCAAGUCGAGCGGAUGAAGGGAGCUUGCUCCUGGAUUCAGCGGCGGACGGGUGAGUAAUGCCUAGGAAUCUGCCUGGUAGUGGGGGAUAACGUCCGGAAACGGGCGCUAAUACCGCAUACGUCCUGAGGGAGAAAGUGGGGGAUCUUCGGACCUCACGCUAUCAGAUGAGCCUAGGUCGGAUUAGCUAGUUGGUGGGGUAAAGGCCUACCAAGGCGACGAUCCGUAACUGGUCUGAGAGGAUGAUCAGUCACACUGGAACUGAGACACGGUCCAGACUCCUACGGGAGGCAGCAGUGGGGAAUAUUGGACAAUGGGCGAAAGCCUGAUCCAGCCAUGCCGCGUGGGUGAAGAAGGUCUUCGGAUUUGAAAGCACUUUAAGUUGGGAGGAAGGGCAGUAAGUUAAGACCGUGCUGUUUUGACGUUACCAACAGAAUAAGCACCGGCUAACUUCGUG
Molecule: ribosomal RNA, 484 nt
Filed under: uncultured bacterium
Lineage: Bacteria
Description: partial 16S ribosomal RNA
Rfam family: Bacterial small subunit ribosomal RNA
Source: RNAcentral